UACUGAUGUCCUUAUCAUUGGGAACGGGUGGCAGUUCGACAUCAUGUUCUUUUAACAACUGCAACUCGUUCUGGGUGUAAGAGAAACAUUCGUCCAUACGACCAAUGCCUUCUACAUCAUGCACGGUUGCGGUGUCGAACUGCGAUCCAUCCUCUUCAUAUUCUAUCUCCUCGUCCUCAUUUUCAUGCCCACCACUCUGAGAUAGUGACUCCUCCUCUGCCUCGACACCUACUACCC
RNAcentral lists this long non-coding RNA (237 nucleotides) under Setaria italica (foxtail millet). RNAcentral describes it as "long non-coding RNA (SITA_LNC005118)". The record is from RNAcentral. Lineage: Eukaryota; Viridiplantae; Streptophyta; Magnoliopsida; Poales; Poaceae.